CCUACGGGAGGCAGCAGUGGGGAAUAUUGCGCAAUGGGCGAAAGCCUGACGCAGCGACGCCGCGUGAGGGAUGAAGGUCUUCGGAUCGUAAACCUCUGUCAGCAGGGAAGAACGGUCACUGUGCUAAUCAGCAGUGAAUUGACGGUACCUGCAAAGGAAGCACCGGCUAACUCCGUGCCAGCAGCCGCGGUAAUACGGAGGGUGCGAGCGUUAAUCGGAAUUACUGGGCGUAAAGCGCUCGUAGGCGGUAUGUCAAGUCAAGGGUGAAAGUCCCGGGCUCAACGUGUGAACUGCCUUUGAAACUGGCAAACUUGAGUGCGUGAGAGGAUAGUGGAAUUCCAGGUGUAGGAGUGAAAUCCGUAGAUAUCAGGAGGAACACCAGUGGCGAAGGCGACUAUCUGGCACACCACUGACGCUGAGGAGCGAAAGCGUGGGUAGCAAACAGGAUUAGAUACCCUAGUAGUC
Molecule: ribosomal RNA, 465 nt
Filed under: uncultured bacterium
Lineage: Bacteria
Description: partial 16S ribosomal RNA
Rfam family: Bacterial small subunit ribosomal RNA
Source: RNAcentral